UAUAGCACACUAUGUACAUAGUACGUACAUUAUUCGUACAUUUUACGUACGUUCGUCCAUGUACAAAACAUGUACGUACUGCGUACGUACAGUAACGGACGAAAAUUGAGAAGUUAGCAAGUACGUACAUAGUACGAACAAUGUACAAACAUGUUUGCAGUUACACCUGAACGUGCGCAUUACUGGUUUUAGUGCGCAUGCACUACAUGCAGCUGUGUGAAUAGUGAAUGAUUUGUUAAUGGCGUCUUUUAUUUGGUUUGCAUAAACAUUUGUUAUCUUGGUUAAAGUUAAAAGUGUUAUUCAGUGUUGGUGUUGUGACUUGGGAUAGUUUUAUUGGUGCGUAUAUCUUAAAAUCAUUUGUGUAUACAAGUGGUAAAUUCUUCAUUUUCUGUUUUAAAUACACAUACAAAAGGCAGAUUAUAACCUAUAAUUGUGCAUGUGGAAUCAUCUGCGUUCCCCUCUUUUAUUAUAGUAGGUAGUUAACAAUUUGCUUAAAAUUGCAAGUGUAGAAAAAUGCCUAAAUAUAAAUUAUCCCGUACACAUUACAGACAUGCUCAACAAUUGUCGAAUGAUACAAUUGAACUCAUAAACCGAACUGUAAUUGAAACUGUACCAACUUCGGUAGCGACAAGUAAUGAAACAACCGAAUCUGCACAAUCUACACCUAUAAUUGGAGAUGAUACGGUUAGUGAGUAUGAAUCAGAAUCAGAUUCUAUUGACGAUUUAGAUGUCGACGAUGAGUUUCGUAGUACAACCCCCAGUAGAGAUGAGAAUCCAGUUAAUUCCACCGAAGGUUUAAAUCCGAGUAAUUAUUCUUCACAAACAACUUUUGCUUCGUUACUUGCAGACUGGGGUGUCACAUAUCAUAUUGAACAUAUUGCUUUAAAUAGUUUGUUACGCUUGCUUCGUCAACAUUUCGAUAACAAUCUACCUGCUGAUGCACGAACGCUAUUAAAAACUCCUAGAAGGACUGAUUUACAAGAAAUUUUUCCUGGUAAAUUUUUCUAUUUUGGUCUCGAUUCUGCAGUCAAUAAAAUUCUUGACAAAUAUGAACUUAGCGAUAAUAUAGAUGUAAUUAAAAUUGGUGUCAAUGUAGAUGGACUUCCAUUAAGCAAAAGUUCCGGUAGUCAGUUGUACCCCAUCAUAUGUAAUCUAUGGGAGAAUCCCUCCGUCGUCGAAAUGAUCGGUUUAUAUCAUGGAUACGAAAAGCCCUCUGAUCCAAACAUUUUCAUGCAAGAUUUUAUAAAUGAUGCGGUUUUGUUUACGAAUAACGGUUUUAUGUAUAAGAAUCGUACUAUUCCAUUUAGGGUAAAUGCUAUCAUCUGUGAUGUUCCAGCAAAAUCGUUUAUAACGUUUACAAAAGGACAUAGUGGGUAUAAUUCUUGCUCAAAAUGUCACAUAGAGGGAGAAUACGUUAACAAUCGUGUGUGUUUUUACAACUCUUCAAAUGUUAGAAGCAGGUGUGAUACUGAUUUUCGACAGAAACUUGAUGAAGAACAUCACACAGGUACUUCGAUAUUAGAAAUUUUGCCAAACUUUGACAUGAUACGUAACAUCCCAUUGGAUUACAUGCAUCUUAUCUGUUUAGGUGUGAUGCGAAAACUAUUACUUUUAUGGGUUUUUGGGAAACCAAAUUCAAAGUUAGCACAUAUUCAAGUAUCACGCAUAUCAAACUAUUUAGUUGAGUUGUCUAAAAAUAUCCCCUGUGAGUUCGUUCGCAAACCUCGCUCGUUGGAUGAUCUCAAACGGUUUAAAGCUACCGAGUUUCGACAAAUUUUAAUGUACACAGGGCCACUUGUAUUCAAAACUACCUUGUCGAAGGAUCGUUAUGCCAAUUUCUUAAGCCUUCAUGUUGCUAUGAGGAUUUUUUCAAAUGAAAGCCACUUGGCAGAACAUGGAGAUUACGCUCAUGAUUUACUAAAGUAUUUCAUAGAUACCUUUGUGAUUUUGUAUGGGAAGGAAAAUGUGUCACAUAAUGUGCAUAAUCUUUUGCAUCUGCGGGAAGAUUGCAAAAAUUUUGGCGUGUUACAAAACUUUUCAGGAUUUCCAUUUGAAAAUUACUUACAGUCAUUGAAAUUACUAAUUCGCAAAGGUAGCGACCCUUUACCACAAAUUAUUAAAAGAAUAAUAGAAAAAGAUUGUCGUCACACUGAUGCAAAAAAAUAUCAUCAAGUAUCAACUACUACACCUAAACCAAAUAAAUUACACAAUAAUGGACCUUUACUAAAUCAUAAUCGAACUCGUAACAUUUUAUAUCAAUAUAAAGAAUUGUGUUUUGAAAAGUUUACAGUCAAACUAACUGAAAGUGAUAGCUGCUGUGGAUUAACGGACGGAAACAUAAUAUGCAUAAAAAAUAUUGUAACAAAUGCUGAUAAUGAAUUGUAUGUAAUUGCACAAAAAUUUAAUUUAAAAACAAACUUAUACUUUCAACCACUUCCAUCAUCUGCACUGAAUAUUUAUAUUGUAAAUGAUUUAGGUCCUUUAGAAGUAUGGAGUGUUGAUGAGAUCACAUGCAAAUAUGUUAAAAUGAGAUAUAAUGAUAGGUUUGUUGUAGUACCUUUACUACAUUGCUAGCAAAACAUCUAGGUAUAAAGUUCUCUAUUGCGAUCUAUUUUGUUACAAGCUGUUGUAUUAGUUUUUCUGUGUAACUUAUUCAAUGUUUUUAGAAACCUAGUAGCAAAUGAGCAAAAUUAGUACGCGAGCGAGUUUUAAACUUGUACAACGAGCAUAGGUACAAGUUUUGCUCACUUGAAAUCAAAUUCUGCAAUUAGUAUGUGCAAGCUAUAUUAUGUAUGUGUAUUUAAUAUACCUAGGUAAACAAUUCAGAUACCUUGAUUUCUGAAAUAUAUGCAUGUCGUAUAUUAGAAAUAGUGAUUAUCAAUUAAUAGUUGCUUUAUCGGGGUAAGUGCAUCUUGUAUAAAUUUCAUGUUUACUAAAAAUAGUAGUUCAGACAUUGUCAAAUGCAUGUAUAUUAUUAAGAAUUAUUUUGUGGCAGUGUGACUAAUAUGGAUAAGGUUGUGGAUAAUCAGCAGAAUAAAACAUGGUCCGUUAUAAAAUUUCCGGACGAGAAAUCAGUUUCUGCUGUUCCAUCUUCGUGGAUCGUAGGAAAAAAAUGUUACUGGCCCCCUUAUAGUGAGAAAGCACUUCGAGCAGCGAUCGAAAAUAAUGAAAGCCCAAAUUUCCAAGUUUGGCAAUCAUAUACAUUUGAGAGCUUUCGAAACAAUGUGUUUGAUACUUUUAAAGAAGCAGACAAAAAGUCCCUAAAAGCCACGAAAACUUCUGACCUAGAAUCUGGUUGUGAGACAAAGUCAUACACUUUUUCCUCAAAAAAAAGAAAAAUUUUUCGAAAAACUGUCAGCUUUUCUUCGGUGGAAGAGGAAGGUGAAGAAGAGGAAGGUGAUGAAGAAGAGGAAAGCGUUUUGCCAGACCCACCUUCAUUCAAAAAACAACGCAGAGAAUUACAACCAAAUGUGGAAAUAAAUACCUUCGACCAAAAUGAACUUCUGAAAAGACAAGAGGAGCGACGAAAAAGAGAUAUACUGCCCCAAAGAAGUGAGAAUUUAUCCACUCCACGUGUCAGCGAGGAGAACAAUGAAGAGUCUGAUUCAAAAACAAUUAUUAAAUACCUUCAAAGUAUAAUUAGAAAACAGAACAUUUUACACUCCACGUUACUGGAUAUAACUAAUCGUUUAUCAAAUAUUGAAAAUAAGAAUACUGUGCUACAAAUAGAAAAUAGUGAGUCUAUUUUUAUCACAUUGGAAAAUCUGCCUGUUAAUACGGAAGAAGACUUAGCAGUACUAGAAGAUCAUUUAGGAGAAGGCAUGGAGCAUGCUGUUAACGAGUUAUCCAAUUUGGGUGGUGCCACAAUAUAUGAUUUUAUAUUUCGGGCCACUGAAAAGUUAAUAACAAAUAAUUUCUGUGGCAUCCACUACAGUUACGAGGGGAAAAGAAAGAAAAAGGCAUUUCGUAACCUUAAAUUGCAUGAACUAUUGAUAAAAUCAUCGCUCGCAUUAUUCAAAAAUGUUACCAUUAAGGACGUUGAGAUAAGUAUCCAAAAAUGGAUCAGACGGUGCUCAGAAAGAGCGAAGGCUACCAAACAUAAGUAAAAUAUACGAAAAGGUGCCAUUUGUAAAUAUUGAGUGUUGGUUGACUUUGUUUCAUUUAAGAGUUAUUGUUUGUUUUUAUUUUAAUAUGUUUUAGGUAUAAUAUACAUUCCAUAUUAUUAA
RNA transcript from Photinus pyralis (common eastern firefly), 4226 nucleotides. RefSeq lists it as uncharacterized. The record is from RefSeq and is a predicted model, not a curated record. The transcript has 7 exons. NCBI's taxonomy places the organism in Eukaryota, Metazoa, Arthropoda, Insecta, Coleoptera, Lampyridae.